This 2698-nucleotide long non-coding RNA is filed under the name Homo sapiens (human). RNAcentral describes it as "HSALNT0309736". The record is from RNAcentral. Lineage: Eukaryota; Metazoa; Chordata; Mammalia; Primates; Hominidae.
GAGAGACGACACCUACCAGCUGGAAGGCGGUUCCGCACCAGACACCGAAGCUGCUGGGCCUUCGACCUCGGACCUCCGUCUUCCAGAACUGUGAGCCACACAUUCCUGAUGCUCCUAAGCCACGCCGUGUACGGUAUUUUGUUACGGUAGCCCAAAUGGACCAAGAUAGGAGCUAAAGGUGCUUGUGAGAUUCCACGCAUCAUACUAGAGGUGUGAGCACUGCACCUAAGGGUGCCUCGGAUCAUCCCUGAGAUGCAGGCACUGCACCAGGAGGUGUCUUGGAUCAUUCCUGAGGUGUGAGCACAUCAUCAGAAGGUCACGCUGAUGCAAGAGGUGGGCUCCCAUGGCCUUGGACUGCUUCACCCCUGUGGCUUUGCUUUCACAAGAUGGCAUUGAGUGUCUGAGGCAUUUCCAGGUGCACAGUGCAAGCUGUCAGCGGAUCUACCAUUCUGGGGUCUGAAGGACGGUGGCCCUCCUCUCACAGUUCAACCGGGCAGCACCCCCAUGGGGACUCCCUGUGGGGGCUCCAAUCCCACAUCUCCCUUCUUCAAUGCCCUAGCAGAGGUUCUCCAUGAGGGCUUUGCCCCUACAGCAGACUUCUGCCUGUACAUCCAGGUAUUUCCAUACAUCCUCUGAAAUCUAAGCUGAGGUUCCCAAACCUCAAUUCUUGACUCCUGUACACCCACAGGUCCAAGACCACGUGUAAGCCACCAAGGCUUGGGGCUUGCACCCUCUGAAGCAACAGCCUGAGCUCUAUGUUGGCCCCUUGAGCCACAGCUGGAACUCACUAUCACCAAAUCCCUAUACUACACAAAGCAGCAAGGCCCUAGGCCUAGCCCGUGAAACCCUUUUUUCCUCCUAGGCCUCUGGGCCUGUGAUGGGAGGGACUGCUGUGAAGAACUCUGACAUGCCCUGGAGACAGUUUCCCCAUUGUCUUGGUGAUUAACAUUUGGCUUUUCGUUACUGAUGCAAAUUUAUCUAGCUGGCUUGAAUUUCUUCUCCAAAAAUGGGUUUUUCUUUUCUAUCGCAUCAUCAGGCUGCAAAUUUUCCUAAGUUUUAUGUUCUGGUUCCCUUUUAAACAUAAGUUUUAAUUCCAAACCAUAUAUUUGUGAGUACAUAAAACUGAAUGCUUUUAACAGCACCCAAGUCACCUCUUGAAUGCUUUGCUGCUCAGAAAUUUCUUCUGCCAGAUACCCUAAAUCAUCUCUCUCAAGUUCAAAAUUCCACAGAUCUUUAGGGCAAGGGCAAAAUACUGCCAGUCUCUUUGCUAAAAUGUAGCAAGAGUCACCUUUAUUCCAGUUCCCAAAAAGUUCUUCAUCUCCAUCUGAGACCACCUCAGCCAGGACUUCAUUGUCCACAUCACUAUCAGCAUUUUGGUCAAAACCAUUAAACAAGUCUCUAGGAAGUUCCAACUUUCCUGGAAGACAUCUUCCUGUCUUCUUCUGAGCCCUCCAAACUGUUCCAACCUCUGCCUGUUACCCAGUUCCAAAGUCACUUCCACGUUUUUUAGUAUCUUUAUAGCAGCGCCCCACUACCCAGUAUCAAUUUACUGUUUUAUUCCAUUCUCAUGCUGCUAUGAAGAACUGCCUGAGACUGGGUAAUUUAUAAAGGAAAGAGGUUUAAAUUACUCACAGUUCUGCAGGGCUGGGGACGCCUCAGGAAACUUACAAUCAUGGCAGAAAGCAAAGGGGAAGCGGGCACGUCUUCAUGUGUCUGGAGAAGGAGGAAGAGAGCAAAGAGGGAGGUGCCACACACUUUCAAACAACCAGGUCUCCUGAGAACUCAUUCACCAUCACAAGAAUGCAAGGGGGAAAUCUGCCCCCAUGAUCCAAUCACCUCCAACCAGCCCACUUCCCCAACACUGGGAAUUACAAUUCGACAUGAGAUUUGGUUGGGGACACAGAGCCAAACUAUAUCAGUGCUUAACCUCAUUUGAGUUGUCACACGCAACCAGGAGGCUUGAAUAACCCACUGCUUCCAGACUAGAUGGCUUUCUGUGUGACCCCAAGAGAGACUCCCAGCCUCUGCUGAUUCCUAUGUAAAGUAUGGGUUGGAACUGGAUGGUAUCGUAGGUUCCUUUAGCUCCGUAUGAUUCUCAUGUAAAAUUCCACCCAGCAGUCAGGCAAGAGGUGCACUGGGGAGAGGAGGUGGAACCCCCAGGUUGUUGAUAAAAUCCUGAAAUCCCUUGGCUCUGUGCUUCAAACAGCCACCUUCCCAACAUCUAUGACUCUUUGAACUGCUCAUAAAGAGCGCUGAUUAAUGUGACACUUCACAUGCCCACCAUGAAAUUAGGAAGGCCCUUAGAUCUCCUUCAAACCCGCGGUGCCGGUGCCUUCGCCCCAUCAAUCAGAGAUGAAACUGUGAUUGUGCUGCAAGGAGACGAGGCCAUCCUGGAGUUCUGCCAUGAAAGAAUCGCUGGGACUCAAAGGAGGGGAAAACAAGGGAAGGAGAGAGGGGGAAAGGGAAAGAGAAGCUGCUUCCAGAAGGAAUAAAUUUGUGUGUGUACUUUGAUCCUGCUAUGAUUUUUAUUUGUUUUAGCCACAUCCUUUUCACUGCACCACUCAGCUAAAGGUGCUUUAAAUUAGAUGGCGCUAGGAAACCCUCUUCCUCCCCCCUUCUUCCCCUGCCUGCCACGCAGGCCCACAGUCUUCAGUCAGUGUGAGAUGUAUAAUCAUGUCAUGCUCAAAUGUAACUGGAA